RNAcentral lists this ribosomal RNA (1395 nucleotides) under Vibrio parahaemolyticus. Its description in RNAcentral is "partial 23S ribosomal RNA". It matches the Rfam family "Bacterial large subunit ribosomal RNA", at positions 1572 to 2925 of the family's 2925-position model. Lineage: Bacteria; Pseudomonadati; Pseudomonadota; Gammaproteobacteria; Vibrionales; Vibrionaceae. The record is from RNAcentral.
AGCACCUACGGGUGUGAAGUCAUUGAUGCCAUGCUUCCAGGAAAAGCCUCUAAGCUUCAGAUUGUAAGGAAUCGUACCCCAAACCGACACAGGUGGUCGGGUAGAGAAUACCAAGGCGCUUGAGAGAACUCGGGUGAAGGAACUAGGCAAAAUGGUACCGUAACUUCGGGAGAAGGUACGCUCUUGAUGGUGAAGUCCCUCGCGGAUGGAGCUGACGAGAGUCGCAGAUACCAGGUGGCUGCAACUGUUUAUUAAAAACACAGCACUGUGCAAAAUCGUAAGAUGACGUAUACGGUGUGACGCCUGCCCGGUGCCGGAAGGUUAAUUGAUGGGGUUAGACUUCGGUCGAAGCUCUUGAUCGAAGCCCCGGUAAACGGCGGCCGUAACUAUAACGGUCCUAAGGUAGCGAAAUUCCUUGUCGGGUAAGUUCCGACCUGCACGAAUGGCGUAAUGAUGGCCACGCUGUCUCCACCCGAGACUCAGUGAAAUUGAAAUCGCUGUGAAGAUGCAGUGUACCCGCGGCUAGACGGAAAGACCCCGUGAACCUUUACUACAGCUUGGCACUGAACAUUGACCCUACAUGUGUAGGAUAGGUGGGAGGCUUUGAAGCACGUACGCCAGUAUGUGUGGAGCCGUCCUUGAAAUACCACCCUUGUAGUGUUGAUGUUCUAACGUCGACCCCUUAUCGGGGUUGCGGACAGUGCCUGGUGGGUAGUUUGACUGGGGCGGUCUCCUCCCAAAGAGUAACGGAGGAGCACGAAGGUGGGCUAAUCACGGUUGGACAUCGUGAGGUUAGUGCAAUGGCAUAAGCCCGCUUGACUGCGAGAAUGACAAUUCGAGCAGGUGCGAAAGCAGGUCAUAGUGAUCCGGUGGUUCUGAAUGGAAGGGCCAUCGCUCAACGGAUAAAAGGUACUCCGGGGAUAACAGGCUGAUACCGCCCAAGAGUUCAUAUCGACGGCGGUGUUUGGCACCUCGAUGUCGGCUCAUCACAUCCUGGGGCUGAAGUCGGUCCCAAGGGUAUGGCUGUUCGCCAUUUAAAGUGGUACGCGAGCUGGGUUUAGAACGUCGUGAGACAGUUCGGUCCCUAUCUGCCGUGGGCGUUGGAAGAUUGAAGGGGGCUGCUCCUAGUACGAGAGGACCGGAGUGGACGAACCUCUGGUGUUCGGGUUGUGUCGCCAGACGCAUUGCCCGGUAGCUAAGUUCGGAAUCGAUAACCGCUGAAAGCAUCUAAGCGGGAAGCGAGCCCUGAGAUGAGUCUUCCCUGAUACUUUAAGUAUCCUAAAGGGUUGUCGGAGACUACGACGUUGAUAGGUCAGGUGUGUAAGUGCUGUGAGGCAUUGAGCUAACUGAUACUAAUUGCCCGUGAGGCUUAACCAUACAACACCCAAGGGGUUU